Molecule: ribosomal RNA, 815 nt
Filed under: uncultured bacterium
Lineage: Bacteria
Description: bacterial SSU rRNA
Rfam family: Bacterial small subunit ribosomal RNA
Source: RNAcentral
ACACAUGCAAGUCGAGGGGAAACGACAUCGAAAGCUUGCUUUUGAUGGGCGUCGACCGGCGCACGGGUGAGUAACGCGUAUCCAACCUGCCCACCACUUGGGGAUAACCUUGCGAAAGUAAGACUAAUACCCAAUGAUAUCUCUAGAAGACAUCUGAAAGAGAUUAAAGAUUUACCGGUGAUGGAUGGGGAUGCGUCUGAUUAGCUUGUUGGCGGGGUAACGGCCCACCAAGGCAACGAUCAGUAGGGGUUCUGAGAGGAAGGUCCCCCACAUUGGAACUGAGACACGGUCCAAACUCCUACGGGAGGCAGCAGUGAGGAAUAUUGGUCAAUGGACGAGAGUCUGAACCAGCCAAGUAGCGUGCAGGAUGACGGCCCUAUGGGUUGUAAACUGCUUUUAUAAGGGAAUAAAGUGAGUCUCGUGAGACUUUUUGCAUGUACCUUAUGAAUAAGGACCGGCUAAUUCCGUGCCAGCAGCCGCGGUAAUACGGAAGGUCCGGGCGUUAUCCGGAUUUAUUGGGUUUAAAGGGAGCGUAGGCCGGAGAUUAAGCGUGUUGUGAAAUGUAGAUGCUCAACAUCUGCACUGCAGCGCGAACUGGUUUCCUUGAGUACGCACAAAGUGGGCGGAAUUCGUGGUGUAGCGGUGAAAUGCUUAGAUACCACGAAGAACUCCGAUUGCGAAGGCAGCUCACUGGAGCGCAACUGACGCUGAAGCUCGAAAGUGCGGGUAUCGAACAGGAUUAGAUACCCUGGUAGUCCGCACGGUAAACGAUGGAUGCCCGCUGUUGGUCUGAAUAGGUCAGCGGCCAAGCGAAA